CCUACGGGAGGCAGCAGUGAGGAAUAUUGGUCAAUGGCCGUAAUCCUGAACCAGCCAAGUCGCGUGCAGGACGAAGGCUCUACGGGUUGUAAACUUCUUUUGUACGGGAGUAAAAUGACUUACGUGUAGGGUUUUGCAUGUACGGUACGAAUAAGCAUCGGCUAACUCCGUGCCAGCAGCCGCGGUAAUACGGAGGAUCCGAGCGUUAUCCGGAUUUAUUGGGUUUAAAGGGUGCGUAGGUUGUUUUUUAAGUUAGCGGUGAAAUAUUGUUGCUCAACCAUGAGGUUGCCGUUGAAACUGGAGGACUUGAGAGUGUUUGAGGCAGGCGGAAUGCGUGGUGUAGCGGUGAAAUGCAUAGAUAUCACGCAGAACACCGAUUGCGAAGGCAGCUUACUAGGCCAUAACUGACACUGAUGCACGAAAGCGUGGGGAUCAAACAGGAUUAGAUACCCUAGUAGUC
RNAcentral lists this ribosomal RNA (460 nucleotides) under uncultured bacterium. RNAcentral describes it as "partial 16S ribosomal RNA". It matches the Rfam family "Bacterial small subunit ribosomal RNA", at positions 338 to 795 of the family's 1533-position model. The record is from RNAcentral.